UACAGAGGGUGCGAGCGUUAAUCGGAAUUACUGGGCGUAAAGCGUGCGCAGACGGUCAUGUAAGUCGGGUGUGAAAGCCCCGGGCUCAACCUGGGAAUUGCAUUCGAGACUGUGUGGCUAGGGUGCGGAAGAGGGAAGCGGAAUUUCCGGUGUAGCGGUGAAAUGCGUAGAUAUCGGAAGGAACACCAGUGGCGAAAGCGGCUUCC
This 206-nucleotide ribosomal RNA is filed under the name uncultured bacterium. RNAcentral's name for it is "partial 16S ribosomal RNA". It matches the Rfam family "Bacterial small subunit ribosomal RNA", at positions 524 to 729 of the family's 1533-position model. The record is from RNAcentral.